UUGAACGCUGGCGGCAGGCCUAACCCCUGCAAGUCGAACGGUAACAGGAAGCAGCUUGCUGCUUUGCUGACGAGUGGCGGACGGGUGAGUAAUGUCUGGGAAACUGCCCGAUGGAGGGGGAUAACUACUGGAAACGGUAGCUAAUACCGCAUAACGUCGCAAGACCAAAGAGGGGGACCUUAGGGCCUCUUGCCACCGGAUGUGCCCAGAUGGGAUUAGCUAGUAGGUGGGGUAACGGCUCACCUAGGCGACGAUCCCUAGCUGGUCUGAGAGGAUGACCAGCCACACUGGAACUGAGACACGGUCCAGACUCCUACGGGAGGCAGCAGUGGGGAAUAUUGCACAAUGGGCGCAAGCCUGAUGCAGCCAUGCCGCGUGUAUGAAGAAGGCCUUCGGGUUGUAAAGUACUUUCAGCGGGGAGGAAGGGAGUAAAGUUAAUACCUUUGCUCAUUGACGUUACCCGCAGAAGAAGCACCGGCUAACUCCGUG
This 489-nucleotide ribosomal RNA is filed under the name uncultured bacterium. RNAcentral describes it as "partial 16S ribosomal RNA". It matches the Rfam family "Bacterial small subunit ribosomal RNA", at positions 30 to 507 of the family's 1533-position model. The record is from RNAcentral.